GAUGAAGAACGCAGCGAAAUGCGAUAAGUAAUGUGAAUUGCAGAAUUCAGUGAAUCAUCGAAUCUUUGAACGCACAUUGCGCCCGCCAGUAUUCUGGCGGGCAUGCCUGUUCGAGCGUCAUUUCAACCAUCAAGCCCCCCGGCUUGUGUUGGGGACCUGCGGCUGCCGCAGGCCCUGAAAACCAGUGGCGGGCUCGCUGUCACACCGGGCGUAGUAGAUUUUAUCUCGCUCAGGGCGUGCUGCGGGUUCCGGCCGUUAAAAAGCCUUUUUUACCCAAGGUUGACCUCGGAUCAGGUAGGAAGACCCGCUGAACUUAAGCAUAUCAAUAAGCGGAGGA
Molecule: unclassified non-coding RNA, 337 nt
Filed under: soil metagenome
Description: partial contains 5.8S ribosomal RNA, internal transcribed spacer 2, and large subunit ribosomal RNA
Rfam family: 5.8S ribosomal RNA (bases 1-120)
Source: RNAcentral